This 183-nucleotide ribosomal RNA is filed under the name uncultured bacterium. Its description in RNAcentral is "partial 16S ribosomal RNA". It matches the Rfam family "Bacterial small subunit ribosomal RNA", at positions 1319 to 1500 of the family's 1533-position model. The record is from RNAcentral.
CAUGAAGUUGGAGUUGCUAGUAAUCGCGGAUCAGCAUGCCGCGGUGAAUACGUUCCCGGGCCUUGUACACACCGCCCGUCACACCAUGGGAGUUGGGGAUACCCGAAGCCUGUGAGCUAACUUUAUAAGGAGCAGCAGUCGAAGGUAGAAUCAAUGAUUGGGGUGAAGUCGUAACAAGGUACC